This is a long non-coding RNA of Glycine soja, 563 nucleotides long. RefSeq lists it as uncharacterized. The transcript has 2 exons. The record is from RefSeq and is a predicted model, not a curated record. NCBI's taxonomy places the organism in Eukaryota, Viridiplantae, Streptophyta, Magnoliopsida, Fabales, Fabaceae.
UAUAUCAUAAGGUACCUCUAACGGUAUUAGUCUAUCUUUUCCUAAUUACUCACAAUAUAAAGAUUUUUUUUUCUCACUGCAAUACAAUCCCAACAAUAAUUUAAAAUCAUGGACAUGACUUCCAUUUGCUUCUUGUUUAAUUUCUAAGAAUAUGACUUUAGACUCUAGUUCUAACUGCAGAUACCACCCGUGUUCCUCGCUAUGUGUAGCCCCUGCCAAACACCCAAAGCCUCAGCAUUAGGAAAACUUGCAGUGCCUAUAUUUCUGGACACAAGGCCCCCACAAUCAGCAGCCUUUGUUGAAGGAAACAAGCAAUACAUGACUUUAUGGGGAGCCACUUUCUACAAAAUAGUUCCGCGUUGGUUCUGGGGUAAAGAAUUGGAGGCUGUUUUAGCUUGAAGUCUGAACAAUGAAGAGUAAGUGACAUACGUAGAAGCUAGGUGCCUCCAUAGUUCAAGAAUUUCAUUGAGAGAUCGAGGUCACAACGAGGGGAUAAGGCCUGGACCAUGUAAAAUUGUUAUAGAGAAUGAAUAUAACGGUUGAACGGGUUUAGCGUUUAAUUA